RNAcentral lists this ribosomal RNA (450 nucleotides) under uncultured Streptococcus sp. Its description in RNAcentral is "bacterial SSU rRNA". It matches the Rfam family "Bacterial small subunit ribosomal RNA", at positions 929 to 1382 of the family's 1533-position model. Lineage: Bacteria; Bacillati; Bacillota; Bacilli; Lactobacillales; Streptococcaceae. The record is from RNAcentral.
GCGUGGAGCAUGUGGUUUAAUUCGAAGCAACGCGAAGAACCUUACCAGGUCUUGACAUCCCGAUGCUAUUUCUAGAGAUAGAAAGUUACUUCGGUACAUCGGUGACAGGUGGUGCAUGGUUGUCGUCAGCUCGUGUCGUGAGAUGUUGGGUUAAGUCCCGCAACGAGCGCAACCCCUAUUGUUAGUUGCCAUCAUUCAGUUGGGCACUCUAGCGAGACUGCCGGUAAUAAACCGGAGGAAGUGGGGAUGACGUCAAAUCAUCAUGCCCCUUAUGACCUGGGCUACACACGUGCUACAAUGGUUGGUACAACGAGUUGCGAGUCGGUGACGGCGAGCUAAUCUCUUAAAGCCAAUCUCAGUUCGGAUUGUAGGCUGCAACUCGCCUACAUGAAGUCGGAAUCGCUAGUAAUCGCGGAUCAGCACGCCGCGGUGAAUACGUUCCCGGGCCUU